Long non-coding RNA from Clarias gariepinus (North African catfish), 286 nucleotides. RefSeq lists it as uncharacterized. The transcript is spliced from 3 exons. Lineage: Eukaryota; Metazoa; Chordata; Actinopteri; Siluriformes; Clariidae. The record is from RefSeq and is a predicted model, not a curated record.
GGAGAAGGCAGCAGUUCAGUGUCAAAAACUGAACGACUCUUCAAGAACCAGAAUGUUAGGACUUUGUCUCAGUUUAUUGCUUGUCAGUGUUCACAGAACUUCUCUACUAGCUGGUCACAAUCAGGUCAGGCUGGUAAAUGGUACGAGUAACUGCUGUGGUCGAGUGGAAAUCCAGUACGAAGCCCAGUGGGGAACAGUGUGUGAUGAUGACUGGGACUUAAAGGAUGCAGAGGUGGUGUGUAGACAGCGUGGAUGUGGUAAAGCAAUCAUCGCUCCUCAUAGUGCC